AGCGCUGCUCCAGGCCCGGGCCUGUGGGAACGAGGCAGAUGCUGUGAGGCCUCGCCCAGCUCCACUCCCACUCCCGCUUCCUCAGGCCUACACAUGCUGGGACUCUGGCUGAGGGAUUUCUCUGUCUGUGGAAACUUGCUGGCCUACAGGCUGGGCAGACUUGCCGGAGGUCGGUUCUCUCCACCGGUGACAGAGGGAAUUGGCCAACUCGUCCCCCAGCUUUCUCACCCAGGCUGGGGGGUCAAGGCCAGGCAAGGUCUAUACCAUCUCCUAGAGGUCCCCCGUGGGAAUGGGAGCAUCUGUCUACACAGUAACCUGCCAUCCCAUGCACUUUGUAUUUGCUUCCUUCUCUCAUCAGCCACUUAAAUCCACGGUGGGUAGGAAGUGUUAGAAAGAGAGAACAUCAGAGAAAAAGUGCCUCCUUGAGUACCUCAUCGAGCUCAAAUCCAAGAGAAGAGCAGACCUUGGUAUUAGAUCGUUGGUCUCCAGGGACUCCCAGUUACUGCCUUAAGAUGUCAGUGUCUGUAUACGUUGCCUGGCUAGUAAACUUUGGAGGAAUUGAUGAACCACUGUGUCUGGGCUUUUCAUUUCUUUGGCCUGAGUCCUGCCAGGUCUUUGUUGUCUCCCACAGGGCCUUUCAUACAUGUGCCCAAGAAUGCGUUGAUCUACUUUGAUCUCCUAUUGUGUAAGAAGAUUUCCUCCGGGAAAGGACGAGCAGUGAAUUCAUGAAACUUGGCACGGAUUUUGAUCUCAAUUUAUAGAUGGGAACACCUAUAAAAUGAAGAGGGUUGGGCCAGUCUGUGAGGCCAGUUCUAGCUCAAAAUCCUGGCAUCCUCUAAGAUGUGGAAGAGUGAGGUCAGAGGGAGGCGGCCGGCUGCUGGCAGCGCCGGGCAGCUGGGCGCUGGGGCCCAGGGCUCUUCAGAGACCAUGUUAGAAUUCCCGUUUUGCCAUCACCAAGAUGUACAUCCAAAGGCACAUUCCACAGUACUGCCCCUGGGUGUGUAGGCAAAUAUUGAUUUAAAUCAUUGAAUGGGUUAGUAUUUGCUGAGAACCUUCUACAGACAGUGAGCUGAGGGGCGGUGUCAUGAGGGGUACAAAAGGUGACUACAUCAGGACCCUUGCCCUCAAGGAGGUCGGGGCCCUGUCUGCAGCAGGCUGUGUGGCCCUGCACACACAGCCACCUCCUUAUUUCCUCAUCUGUGAAACGAGGGAAAUGAAACCAAUUUUGCUUGUUAUGAGAAUUAGAGAUAAUAUAGGUAAAGCUUGUUGGACUACUUCUAGGAUCGGAUUGUUAUUAAGAAAUAGGUAUUAUAGGUCAAGUUCCCAGCACAGUGCCUAACACUUGGUAGGUAUUAAAUAACUGGUACUGUAAGGGAGCAGAAUUUACCACCCCCAAAUAGGUCUCUUUGGUAUAACGAUUAUUUUAAGCUGGUUGUUUUUAUUUUUUAAUUUUUUCUUUUUUUCUAUAUCGAAGUAUAGUUGAUUUACAAUGUUGUGUUAGUUUCAGGUGUACAGCAAAACGAUUCAUAUAUAAUAUAUAUUCAUAUUCUUUUUCAGAUUCCUUUCCCUUAUAGGUUAUUACAAAAUAUUGAGUAGAGUUCCCUGUGCUAUACAGUAGGUCCUUGUUGGUUAUCUAUUUUAUAUAUAGUAGUGUGUAUAUGUCAGCCUAAUUUAUCCCUCCCUCCACCCUUUCCCCUUUGGUAUAGGCUGGUUAUUUUUGAAAAACAACAGACACAGGAGUAGCUCUGAAAACCAAGCAGAAGUUACGCCUUGUAAAAGAUGCUUACGUGUGUGAGGGAAAUCUGUAUUUGUAAGGGUGUCUCCCUUGCUGUAUCAGGAAGAGGGGGAGGACUCAAUCUCUAGAAACUCUUAUCAGUGGAGAAGGCAAAGGGCUUCAAUCUGCCUAAUAAGCUUACUCUUAUCACUGUGCUUUUCCUGAUACCCUCUCAUAACUCCCUCCUCCUUUCACAUCUUCUUUUGUCUUCAGCUGAAGAUGGUAUUUAAGAUGAGGGUUUCCACCAUUUCAGGGAGUUAGUUUUCCUGGGUCUCUCCCAUGGAUACAGGAGGUAUACAUGCUAUUAACCUUUUGUUUGUUUUUUCUCCUAUUAACGUGUCUCAUGGCAAGUUCAUAAUUAGACCAGCCGGAGAAUGCAGAAGGGAAGAAGGCAACGUUUUUCCUCCCCUACAGUAAUUACUGUAGUUGCUGGUAAUAUACUCUCAUCAUUAUUAUCAGCACGGGCCAGCAUUAGUAACGCUUUCAGCAGAGAGGAGACCUGAGAGGGACCAGGGAGGGGAGGGGCUCAGUGAAUGGCAGGUGAGUUUCCACCCAAGAGCUCUUUGCCUCUCUAACGCCCAAUCUAUGUGCAUCACAUCCCCACCUGUGUCCCUACGAAGCUACUCAUAUGCUUGUCAUUCAUUCUCCAGAACCCUUAGACUCACCUUUCCACAAGGCUUUCUAACAGGAAAUACAACUGUCAGCGGAUUUUUUUAAAAGUGAAAACCAAGUUCAGCGCUCAUGCAUUUCUUCAGGCAUUAACCGUAAACCGCACUGCCUCAUGAGCAGAUCCCCACCCGCUCUCUGAACGAGGCAAACCCUGGUCUCUGUGCUGAUCCAGAGGUGGCUUUGUUAUCCGCAGUUCAGUCAGGGGGGCUUUGGAGGCUCUGCCCUUAAGUGGGGCUGAGGCGGGCUAGAGCCACUCCACUGCCCCCAGAGGAAUGUAAGAAAUCCCCUUGAUCCCUAAAGAAUCUGGAUUAACAAGCCUUCUUGGUGGGCAAGGAAAUCUGCUACAAAUUCUAGCAUCUAAAUCCAAAGGCUUUCAAAUUCUUGCUUCUUAAAGCUAGUCCAUUAAUUAAUUCCAUACACAUCACAUUUUUUUCUCUCUCUCUUUUCCUGUGCUCCUGUUUUUCUCUGAAACCAUAACUGUAUUUGGGGGGUUAAUAAACAAGUAAUUGUAGAAAAGGUUCUUACUGCUUUGACCUCUCCUCUCUCCCUCCCUUUCUCUCUCCCACAAAAGCUUCACAGGCAGACCUCCUUUUACCGUACUUAGCUUUUUUGCACUUUACAGAUCUUGUGUUUUUUUUUUACAAAUUGAAGGUUUGUAGCAACCCUGCACCGAGCAAGUUUCUGGGAGCCAUUUUUCCAAUAGCAUUUGUUCACUUCGUGUCUCUGUGUUACAGUCUGGUAAUUCAGUAUUUCAAACUUUUUCCUUAUUACUGUAUUUGUUAUGGUGACCUGUGAUCAGUGAUCUUUGACGUUACAAUUGUGAAUGUUUUAAAUGCCCGUAUAAGACGAUGAACUUAACCCAUAAA
Long non-coding RNA from Orcinus orca (killer whale), 3309 nucleotides. RefSeq lists it as uncharacterized. Lineage: Eukaryota; Metazoa; Chordata; Mammalia; Artiodactyla; Delphinidae. The transcript has 3 exons. The record is from RefSeq and is a predicted model, not a curated record.